Pimephales promelas (fathead minnow) is the source of this 1574-nucleotide long non-coding RNA. RefSeq lists it as uncharacterized. The record is from RefSeq and is a predicted model, not a curated record. NCBI's taxonomy places the organism in Eukaryota, Metazoa, Chordata, Actinopteri, Cypriniformes, Leuciscidae.
UUAACACACACACACAUCUCUAUUAAUAAUUUCUGAACAUUGAAUAUCAGAGUUUAUUCACCCCGUUACGUCCCCAAAGAACUGGGUACGUAUUCUAGUGAUUUCUUUACUAGCAUUGUUUGUGGUUCUUGUGUUUUUCUUCUUACAGGUAAGAUGGCUUCUGUAACCAUUCCAGCAGCUGAUUGGUGGUUCAACGACUGAUUGGAUCUUGGAACUCCUCCUACUCGUCAGUGGCUGCAGCUGGUUGGGCUCUUUAAAAAGCCUAGUUUUGGAUCUGUUCACUGUCUGCUCUCUGCUCCUGGUGUGGUUUGUGACCCUUUGUAGGGAACUUUCCCCAGAUAGCAAACUGACAUUGAAUCAAUGUGGAAACAUUGUGUUUUGCUCAUCGAAUUAACGUUGAACCAACGUCAGAUGUGCCAUUCUUCUGAUUUGGAUCUGAAAACAAGAUGACUCCACUUUCACCACUACUUUUUUACCAGGCUCCUCAGGUAGAUGGAGAUUCGGUGCAGAAGCUGAAGGUUUAAGUUCAAGGGAAGGUCUUCAGAGUGACUGAAGAGAGCAAAAUCAUGUUCAGACAUUACCUACCUUGACCUUCAUCCAAACAGACAAACCUAUUUACAAUCCAGGACAAACAGUACAAUGUGGUUGUGGUGGAGGACAAAGAUAAUAACCGGACUGGUCAGUGGACAAACGUUUCCUCAACGGGACUGAUAUUGCAGCUAUCUCACGAGUUAAACCCAGAGGCUCAGAUAGAUAUAGACAUGGCCAACCUGUACCUGGUCAAGCCUUAGUGGAAGUUUCGUGAUCCAAUUCCAUACAUUCUGCUUCAUAAUUUGACCAGACGGUGCCUGACUCAAACUGCAAAGAUGAAUGCCACGGGCUGUGCCUCUCUUACUGUUAUGUCAGUGUUUUUCAACACCAAAUUUGAAGAUGCAAGACAUGUUUCUUGUAAAUGUGAAUGUUACUGAGGAGGGAACAGAUGUAAUGGUAUCAAAAUCUGCAAUGGUGUUUGUAGUCUGCAAAGUCACAUUUGUGGAUCUCCUGGUUCCUUAUUUUGGAUCAAUGCUUAAUGGAAAGAUCCACGUGACUUGACAAAUAUCUCUUGGAGGGGAGCAACUGGCCUGACAAACUGCUGUUGAAUCCAACCAUAAACAAGAAUGGACAGGCUGUGUUCUCUGUAAACACUGCUAAUCUUAAGGCUGAUCUGAAUCUGGUAGUAAGACUUGUAUUUUGUAGAAAUUAAGACAUUCUCUAGCAUGAAACUGAUUAAGUUUGAUGUUCCAGAUGUCUGUCAGUGUUGAUAUGGCUCCAGCAGUGCAGAUUAUGGUCUACAGUGUUCUUCCUAGUGAGAAUGUAGUUGCUGCUAGUGUGCUGUUUGACACUGAUUUGUUUUUCCAGAACCAGGUACUGUAUGAUAUGGCUAUUUUUCAGGUGUCUCUGAAAGGUGUCUUUCCAGCUAUGGUUAUUCCUGUGGAGGGAAAUGUUCUAAUGGUUUCUGUUCAAGCUGGAUCUUUGUAGCCUCAGUGCUGUAGUCCAGAGUGUAUAGAUCAUGGAGCCAGGAACAUGUCAGUGGU